This is a long non-coding RNA of Cottoperca gobio, 817 nucleotides long. RefSeq lists it as uncharacterized. The transcript has 2 exons. Lineage: Eukaryota; Metazoa; Chordata; Actinopteri; Perciformes; Bovichtidae. The record is from RefSeq and is a predicted model, not a curated record.
UGUAUGUUUCUUGUUAAUGGGAUUUUGGAUUAAAAGAUCUUUUUGUUUGAAAGUCGCUGUUUGAGUCGCGUAUUUUGGAACCUGUGUUUUUUCGUUCCGUGGUUCGUAACAAAAGGUGGGAGUGUCCCAGCUGGAGGCCAGACAACUGAACGGAAUCAGGAGUGAGGAACGUACCUGCUUAGCAUCUCUGAUCUUGAUGAGGAAGGUCUGCAGCUCCAGAGUCUCUACAAACAGAGCCCUGCAGACAGCCAGGUAGUGCUCUGGUGCCAAGCUUGGGUUAGCUAGCCGAGACGCACACAGCGUGAUCACCUGGCGGAACGUACACACCGGCCUCAUGACUCCCUCCUGCUCUUCUUCCUCCUCCUCCUCCUCUUCCUGGCCACUGUAGCCCUCAUCUGUGGUACCAUUCCCAGCGGUGCUGACGCCCUCUUCACCCUGGUCAUCCCCCGCCAUGCGUUCAAUGAGAUGCUCCAGCUGCGGGCUGAGCUCCCGCUCCUCACUUUCAUCCAGCCCCCAGUCCAGAGCCUGGUAGAUGGCCACACCCAGCGACUGGACCAGCUGGAGGGAUGGAUGAGGCGAUACAACAAGGCAAUAGUAAAUAGGUUGCCCUUUACCAAGAACAUUUCAAUAAAGUACCAAGUUUGUCAAAAUCCUGCCAAACACCAAAAAAGAUGUAACUAAUCCACUCAGACGAAACCUUAACAUGAGGUUAAAAUAAAAGACUCGUAUGGUGCAUCUGAUUGGUCAAGACAGCCAGUGGUGUAAUGUAACUAAGUACAUUUAAUAAAAUACUGUACUAAAGUACUAUUUUGAGAUA